RNAcentral lists this ribosomal RNA (134 nucleotides) under uncultured eukaryote. Its description in RNAcentral is "partial 18S ribosomal RNA". It matches the Rfam family "Eukaryotic small subunit ribosomal RNA", at positions 1299 to 1458 of the family's 1831-position model. The record is from RNAcentral.
UGGUGGAGUGAUUUGUCUGGUUAAUUCCGAUAACGAACGAGACUCUAGCCUACUAAAUAGUAUGGAGAUCUUGACGUCUCCACUACUUCUUAGAGGGACUGACGGCGUUUAGCCGUCGAAAUUGAGCAAUAACA